GUGUAAAUCCCGCUUGAUUUUGGUGUAUUAGAUGUGGCAGUAUUCCUUUCAAUCUUUCAGCAAGUAUUGAAGAGUAUAUUUUUGUGUUGCAGUUAAUGAGCGAUAUAGGUCUGUAAUUUAUGACUCUUGUUCUGUCUUUGUCUUCUUUUGGAAUCAGUACUAUUUUAGCUUGCAACAUUUCUGAGGGAAAGCUUUUUUUAAUCUAAUUUCAUUAAAAGUCUCUGCUAAGUAUGAUGCUAUAAUGGGGGACAUUUUUUUAAAAUAAAAUAAAUUAGAAAAUCCACCAGGGCCUGGGGAUUUGUUAUUUUUCAAUCUGUCAAUUGCUUUUUGAACCUCUAUUAUGUUAAAUGGGGCUUCUAACUUAGAAUUUUGUUCCAGAUUUAUUGUCGGGGGCUUAAGCUCCUUUAAGUACUAUUUAAUUCCUGGUCUAGUUUGCUUAUCAUCCGCUAUAUUGUACAAUGAGGAGUAAUAGUCCAAGAACGCUUUCCCAAUCUCCCUCGGGCUUAGGGAUAUCCCUUUCUCAGUAAUAAUUUUACUAAUCCUUGCUUUGGCGUCUUCCCUUCUUAAUUGAUUUGUUAGUAAUUUGUCCGCCCUAUUUCCAAGAUAAUAACAUUUUUGUUUAAAU
Non-coding RNA from Pelobates cultripes (western spadefoot toad), 625 nucleotides. NCBI's taxonomy places the organism in Eukaryota, Metazoa, Chordata, Amphibia, Anura, Pelobatidae. The record is from the annotation of a GenBank genome assembly.